UGGGGAAUUUUGGACAAUGGGCGAAAGCCUGAUCCAGCAAUGCCGCGUGUGUGAAGAAGGCCUUCGGGUUGUAAAGCACUUUUGUCCGGAAAGAAAUCCUUGGCUCUAAUACAGUCGGGGGAUGACGGUACCGGAAGAAUAAGCACCGGCUAACUACGUGCCAGCAGCCGCGGUAAUACGUAGGGUGCAAGCGUUAAUCGGAAUUACUGGGCGUAAAGCGUGCGCAGGCGGUUUGCUAAGACCGAUGUGAAAUCCCCGGGCUUAACCUGGGAACUGCAUUCGUGACUGCAAGGCUAGAGUAUGGCAGAGGGGGGUAGAAUUCCACGUGUAGCAGUGAAAUGCGUAGAGAUGUGGAGGAAUACCGAUGGCGAAGGCAGCCCCUGGGCCAAUACUGACGCUCAUGCACGAAAGCGUGGGGAGCAAACAGGAUUAGAUACCCUGGUAGUCCAGCGCCCUAAACGAUGUCACUAGUUGUUGGGGAUUCAUUCCUUAGUAACGUAGCUAACGCGUGAAGUUGACCGCCUGGGGAGUACGGUCG
This 538-nucleotide ribosomal RNA is filed under the name uncultured bacterium. Its description in RNAcentral is "partial 16S ribosomal RNA". It matches the Rfam family "Bacterial small subunit ribosomal RNA", at positions 355 to 888 of the family's 1533-position model. The record is from RNAcentral.